Molecule: long non-coding RNA, 240 nt
Organism: Anguilla anguilla (European eel)
Lineage: Eukaryota; Metazoa; Chordata; Actinopteri; Anguilliformes; Anguillidae
Exons: 3
Source: RefSeq, a predicted model, not a curated record
GAAGAGUACGGUACUUUGGUCCGUUGUUCUUCCACUGUGGUCCUUGUUCUUAGCUUCAGCACAGUCACUCAGUUUAGAGGAGGAGGACCACCGGCUGAUGCAGGCUGCUCUAACUCCCCCAGGAAGGUGAGGGGCUUGAGACGUGGUGGAUGGAAGACCCAGGCAGUGCAAGUGCGAGCGGGGCGCCAGACUGGAGAUUUUUGUUCAUUUUUUUUAAUUUGGGGUGUAGCUUGGCUGGAC